RNAcentral lists this ribosomal RNA (273 nucleotides) under uncultured bacterium. Its description in RNAcentral is "partial 16S ribosomal RNA". It matches the Rfam family "Bacterial small subunit ribosomal RNA", at positions 85 to 354 of the family's 1533-position model. The record is from RNAcentral.
CCGCCGGCGACCGGCGCACGGGUGAGUAACACGUAUGCAACCUGGCCGUGGCAGAUGGAUAACCGGGAGAAAUCCCGCCUAAUACAACAUAAUGCCGGGAGGGGACAUCCCCUGCCGGCCAAAGGGGGCGACCCCGGUCACGGAUGGGCAUGCGGCGCAUUAGGUAGUUGGUGGGGCAACGGCCCACCAAGCCGACGAUGCGUAGGGGUUCUGAGAGGAAGGUCCCCCACAUUGGAACUGAGACACGGUCCAAACUCCUACGGAAGGCAGCAG